This 1222-nucleotide ribosomal RNA is filed under the name metagenome. RNAcentral describes it as "bacterial LSU rRNA". It matches the Rfam family "Bacterial large subunit ribosomal RNA", at positions 1710 to 2925 of the family's 2925-position model. The record is from RNAcentral.
GAACUCGGCAAAUUGGUACCGUAACUUCGGGAUAAGGUACGCCCCUGUAGCCUGACUGGCCUGCGCCAGAAGGGUGAAGGGGUUGCAAUAAACUGGUGGCUGCGACUGUUUAAUAAAAACACAGCACUCUGCAAACACGAAAGUGGACGUAUAGGGUGUGACGCCUGCCCGGUGCCGGAAGAUUAAAUGAUGGGGUGCAAGCUCUUGAUUGAAGUCCCGGUAAACGGCGGCCGUAACAAUAACGGUCCUAAGGUAGCGAAAUUCCUUGUCGGGUAAGUUCCGACCUGCACGAAUGGCGUAACGAUGGCCACACUGUCUCCUCCCGAGACUCAGCGAAGUUGAAGUGUUUGUGAUGAUGCAAUCUCCCCGCGGCUAGACGGAAAGACCCCAUGAACCUUUACUGUAGCUUUGCAUUGGACUUUGAACCGGUCUGUGUAGGAUAGGUGGGAGGCUUUGAAGCGUGGACGCCAGUCUGCGUGGAGCCAACCUUGAAAUACCACCCUGGUUUGUUUGAGGUUCUAACCUUGGUCCGUAAUCCGGAUCGGGGACAGUGCAUGGUAGGCAGUUUGACUGGGGCGGUCUCCUCCCAAAGUGUAACGGAGGAGUACGAAGGUACGCUAGGUACGGUCGGAAAUCGUGCUGAUAGUGCAAUGGCAUAAGCGUGCUUAACUGCGAGACCGACAAGUCGAGCAGGUGCGAAAGCAGGUCAUAGUGAUCCGGUGGUUCUGUAUGGAAGGGCCAUCGCUCAACGGAUAAAAGGUACUCUGGGGAUAACAGGCUGAUACCGCCCAAGAGUUCAUAUCGACGGCGGUGUUUGGCACCUCGAUGUCGGCUCAUCUCAUCCUGGGGCUGUAGCCGGUCCCAAGGGUAUGGCUGUUCGCCAUUUAAAGAGGUACGUGAGCUGGGUUUAAAACGUCGUGAGACAGUUUGGUCCCUAUCUGCCGUGGGCGCUGGAUAUUUGAAGGGGGCUGCUCCUAGUACGAGAGGACCGGAGUGGACGAACCUCUGGUGUACCGGUUGUCACGCCAGUGGCAUCGCCGGGUAGCUAUGUUCGGAAGAGAUAACCGCUGAAAGCAUCUAAGCGGGAAACUCGCCUUAAGAUGAGAUAUCCCCGGGGCUUCGAGCCCCUUGAAGGGUCGUUCGAGACCAGGACGUUGAUAGGUCAGGUGUGGAAGCGCAGUAAUGCGUUAAGCUAACUGAUACUAAUUGCCCGUAAGGCUCG